RNAcentral lists this unclassified non-coding RNA (329 nucleotides) under uncultured fungus. RNAcentral describes it as "partial contains 5.8S ribosomal RNA, internal transcribed spacer 2, and large subunit ribosomal RNA". The record is from RNAcentral. Lineage: Eukaryota; Fungi.
AACGCACAUUGCGCCCGAGGCUUCGGCCGAGGGCAUGUCUGCCUCAGCGUCCUGCUUCGUUGCCCCGCCCCCUCCGCCUUCCCAGGCGGAUCGCGGCGGCGCGAUCUGGCCGUCCUCUGAGGGGUCGGUGGCGCUCGCGCCUCCCCCCCUCGGACGUCGGCCGAAAAGCAGCGCGAUCGAAGCCGCCCGACCUCGGGCUCGGAGCUUGAUAGGAACCCCGGUUCUCACCCCGCUCCGUCCCGUCCGUCGCGAGAGCUUCGGCCGCCAAACCUCAGGAACCCCUUUCGUCUCAGGACCUGAGCUCAGGCAAGGCUACCCGCUGAACUUAA